AGUGAACGCUGGCGGUAGGCCUAACGCAUGCAAGUCGAACGGCAGCACAGUAAGAGCUUGCUCUUACGGGUGGCGAGUGGCGGACGGGUGAGGAAUACAUCGGAAUCUACUUUUUCGUGGGGGAUAACGUAGGGAAACUUACGCUAAUACCGCAUACGACCUACGGGUGAAAGCAGGGGAUCUUCGGACCUUGCGCGAUUGAAUGAGCCGAUGUCGGAUUAGCUAGUUGGCGGGGUAAAGGCCCACCAAGGCGACGAUCCGUAGCUGGUCUGAGAGGAUGAUCAGCCACACUGGAACUGAGACACGGUCCAGACUCCUACGGGAGGCAGCAGUGGGGAAUAUUGGACAAUGGGCGCAAGCCUGAUCCAGCCAUACCGCGUGGGUGAAGAAGGCCUUCGGGUUGUAAAGCCCUUUUGUUGGGAAAGAAAUCCAGCCGGCUAAUACCUGGUUGGGAUGACGGUACCCAAAGAAUAAGCACCGGCUAACUUCGUG
Molecule: ribosomal RNA, 492 nt
Filed under: uncultured bacterium
Lineage: Bacteria
Description: partial 16S ribosomal RNA
Rfam family: Bacterial small subunit ribosomal RNA
Source: RNAcentral